CGCUGAAGGUGGCGAUAGCUGCUGGCAGUGCUGCAAAGGCAAUAUUCAAGCCAGCUCUCCUCUGCCGUCCUUGGGAGGGUUCUCUUUGACAGGUUCUGGCUGCCCAUGAGGCCCCCCGAAGGAGCAUUUCCUCAGUAAGUACCUGCCUUGGGUGUGUGCAUGAGACUAUGUGUAUUAGGCGUACAUGUAUCCAUGCACACAUGCCUUAUGUCUUUGCUCCCUGGCCUUCCUGUCCUUCCCUCCAAGGCAUGGUCUCCAGAGGUUACUCACACCUCCCCUUUCUCUGAGUUGUGUUAGACAGUGUCCCCAGGGAAAAUAUCCCAGUUCCCUAGUCACAGCCUUGUUCCUCCAACCUUGGCUGAUCCAUGUCUUCUUCCUUUCUGUCUUCCCUCUAGCAACAAACAAUUGUGAGUAUUCUCUGUAUUAGAUUUGAGGGGCUCUUAGUUGCUUUGGGGUUAACCCAAAUCCAGGUGGGCUUGAGGGGGUGGUGGAUGCUGAUCAGGAGCCUCGGGACAGCAACUCUGCCUUGGCUGGCCUGUGGAUUGGUGCUGGUGGGAAGAAGGGAACUGACUCAAGCCAGGGUGCACAUUGGGGUAUCCAAGGGCUUACCUUCACCAUUUCCCUUCUUCCAGCCUCCGUCUGCUAAGUAUGGUGGGCGGCAUACAGUGACUAUGAUUCCAGGGGAUGGCAUCGGCC
This 696-nucleotide long non-coding RNA is filed under the name Rattus norvegicus (Norway rat). RNAcentral's name for it is "long non-coding RNA NONRATT000916". The record is from RNAcentral. Lineage: Eukaryota; Metazoa; Chordata; Mammalia; Rodentia; Muridae.